UGGGCGUUAAGUUGCAGGGUAUAGACCCGAAACCCGGUGAUCUAGCCAUGGGCAGGUUGAAGGUUGGGUAACACUAACUGGAGGACCGAACCGACUAAUGUUGAAAAAUUAGCGGAUGACCUGUGGCUGGGGGUGAAAGGCCAAUCAAACCGGGAGAUAGCUGGUUCUCCCCGAAAGCUAUUUAGGUAGCGCCUCGUGAAUUCAUCUCCGGGGGUAGAGCACUGUUUCGGCUAGGGGGCCAUCCCGGCUUACCAACCCGAUGCAAACUGCGAAUACCGGAGAAUGUUAUCACGGGAGACACACGGCGGGUGCUAACGUCCGUCGUGAAGAGGGAAACAACCCAGACCGCCAGCUAAGGUCCCAAAGUCAUGGUUAAGUGGGAAACGAUGUGGGAAGGCCCAGACAGCCAGGAUGUUGGCUUAGAAGCAGCCAUCAUUUAAAGAAAGCGUAAUAGCUCACUGGUCGAGUCGGCCUGCGCGGAAGAUGUAACGGGGCUAAACCAUGCACCGAAGCUGCGGCAGCGACACUGUGUGUUGUUGGGUAGGGGAGCGUUCUGUAAGCCUGUGAAGGUGUGUCGUGAGGCAUGCU
Molecule: ribosomal RNA, 588 nt
Filed under: Salmonella enterica subsp. enterica serovar Enteritidis
Lineage: Bacteria; Pseudomonadati; Pseudomonadota; Gammaproteobacteria; Enterobacterales; Enterobacteriaceae
Description: partial 23S ribosomal RNA
Rfam family: Bacterial large subunit ribosomal RNA
Source: RNAcentral